CAGCAGUCGCCGCGGUAAUACGUAGGGUGCGAGCGUUAAUCGGAAUUACUGGGCGUAAAGCGUGCGCAGGCGGUUUUGUAAGACAGGCGUGAAAUCCCCUGGCUCAACCUGGGAACGGCGCUUGUGACUGCAAAGCUAGAGUGCGGCAGAGGGGGAUGGAAUUCCGCGUGUAGCAGUGAAAUGCGUAGAUAUGCGGAGGGACACCGAUGGCGAAGGCAAUCCCCUGGGCCUGCACUGACGCUCAUGCACGAAAGCGUGGGGAGCGAACAGGAUUAGAUACCCCUGUAGUCCCUGUCUCUUAUAC
Molecule: ribosomal RNA, 304 nt
Filed under: uncultured bacterium
Lineage: Bacteria
Description: partial 16S ribosomal RNA
Rfam family: Bacterial small subunit ribosomal RNA
Source: RNAcentral